UCCAUUCCAAUAGAAAAAAGAUGUCCGGAACUUUGUCCGAGAAUGUGUCAUAUGCCAGAGAUUUAAACUUGAAUUAAUUGCUUCACCGGGUCUUCUCCAACCUUUACCAGUUCCAGAACAUGUGUGGACUGAUCUUUCCAUAGAUUUCAUUAGUGGCCUUCCAAAAUCACACUCUAAAUCUACUA
Neltuma alba is the source of this 185-nucleotide long non-coding RNA. RefSeq lists it as uncharacterized. The transcript is spliced from 3 exons. The record is from RefSeq and is a predicted model, not a curated record. NCBI's taxonomy places the organism in Eukaryota, Viridiplantae, Streptophyta, Magnoliopsida, Fabales, Fabaceae.